CAACAGAAUAAUUCAGAACUGAAUUUUUAUAUAGACCAGUCUAUUACCAAUGCCGAAUGGAUCUGUAAGAAUCCAAAGACAGGUGCCACGUUAAUAAUGACACUAAAAACAGAAGAUCAAACGACGAGACCAUUCGAUUUUUUUUUCCCUAAUUUAGAA
This 159-nucleotide long non-coding RNA is filed under the name Polistes fuscatus (common paper wasp). RNAcentral describes it as "uncharacterized LOC122523905". Lineage: Eukaryota; Metazoa; Arthropoda; Insecta; Hymenoptera; Vespidae. The record is from RNAcentral.